RNAcentral lists this long non-coding RNA (224 nucleotides) under Daucus carota (carrot). Its description in RNAcentral is "long non-coding RNA (DCAR_LNC004563)". Lineage: Eukaryota; Viridiplantae; Streptophyta; Magnoliopsida; Apiales; Apiaceae. The record is from RNAcentral.
GUUUCGGCUUAUUGCACAUUGCACCUAAUAGUUUUGGAAAAUACACUUUGCAUCCCCAGACUUUUAACCCGUAGACACUUUGCACCCUUUCCGGUAAAUUUUGCCGUUACCGUUAAUUUUUACAGGGGCAUUUUGGGAAAUGUAAUUAUAUUUAAUUAAAAUUAGAUCUUUAUUUAAAUUUUUUGACCAUCUAAACGAUAUUUUUCGGAAAAACUUAAAGAACG